AGUGAACGCUGGCGGUAGGCCUAACACAUGCAAGUCGAACGGCAGCACAGUAAGAGCUUGCUCUUACGGGUGGCGAGUGGCGGACGGGUGAGGAAUACAGCGGAAUCUACUUUUUCGUGGGGGAUAACGUAGGGAAACUUACGCUAAUACCGCAUACGACCUACGGGUGAAAGCAGGGGAUCUUCGGACCUUGCGCGAUUGAAUGAGCCGAUGUCGGAUUAGCUAGUUGGCGGGGUAAAGGCCCACCAAGGCGACGAUCCUUAGCUGGUCUGAGAGGAUGAUCCGGUACACUGGAUCUGCGACACGGACGAGCUUCCCAAGGGCGCCAGCGGUGCGGACUAUUGGCCCAUGGGCGCAGGCGUGAUCCAGCAAUACCGCGUGGCUGCACAUGGGCUUCCGGUUCUAAAGCGUUUUUGUUGUGACCGAAAAGCCGCCCGUUAAUCCCCCGCUGUUCUGACGGUCCCCAACGAAUAAGCACCGGCUCACUUCGUG
Molecule: ribosomal RNA, 492 nt
Filed under: uncultured bacterium
Lineage: Bacteria
Description: partial 16S ribosomal RNA
Rfam family: Bacterial small subunit ribosomal RNA
Source: RNAcentral